This 455-nucleotide ribosomal RNA is filed under the name uncultured bacterium. Its description in RNAcentral is "SSU rRNA". It matches the Rfam family "Bacterial small subunit ribosomal RNA", at positions 26 to 518 of the family's 1533-position model. The record is from RNAcentral.
AGAGCGAACGCUGGCGGCAGGCCUAACACAUGCAAGUCGAACGAUAAGCCACCUUCGGGUGGUGGACAGUGGCAGACGGGUGAGUAACGCGUGGGAACGUGCCUUUCGGUUCGGAAUAACCCAGGGAAACUUGGGCUAAUACCGGAUACGCCCUUCGGGGGAAAGAUUCAUUGCCGAAAGAUCGGCCCGCGUCGGAUUAGCUAGUUGGUGGGGUAAUGGCUCACCAAGGCGACGAUCCGUAGCUGGUCUGAGAGGAUGACCAGCCACACUGGGACUGAGACACGGCCCAGACUCCUACGGGAGGCAGCAGUGGGGAAUAUUGGACAAUGGGCGCAAGCCUGAUCCAGCCAUGCCGCGUGGGUGAAGAAGGCCUUAGGGUUGUAAACCCCUUUCAGCGGGGAAGAUAAUGACGGUACCGCAGAAGAAGUCCCGGCUAACUCCGUGCCAGCAGCCGC